Molecule: ribosomal RNA, 381 nt
Filed under: uncultured marine Chaetocerotaceae
Lineage: Eukaryota; Bacillariophyta; Thalassiosirophyceae; Chaetocerotales; Chaetocerotaceae
Description: SSU rRNA
Rfam family: Eukaryotic small subunit ribosomal RNA
Source: RNAcentral
AGCUCCAAUAGCGUAUAUUAAAGUUGCUGCAGUUAAAAAGCUCGUAGUUGCAUUUCCGAGGCAAGGGAUUAGUCCGACCUUUGGUGGGUAUUUAAUCCUCUUGCCUCGUCCUUGAGUGGUGCUUCUUGGUAUUAAGUUAUCGAGGAGAUAGCCGCUCAUCGUUUACUGUGAGAAAAUUAGAGUGUUCAAAGCAGGCUUAUGCCGUUGAAUAUAUUAGCAUGGAAUAAUAAGAUAGGACCUCGGUACUAUUUUGUGGGUUUGAGAACCAAGGUAAUGAUGAAUAGGGACAGUUGGGGGUAUUCGUAUUCAGUUGUCAGAGGUGAAAUUCUUAGAUUUACUGAAGACGAACUACUGCGAAAGCAUUUACCAAGGAUGUUUUCA